GGUUAAUACCCUGUGUAGAUGACGGUACCGGAAUAAGAAGCACCGGCUAACUACGUGCCAGCAGCCGCGGUAAUACGUAGGGUGCGAGCGUUAAUCGGAAUUACUGGGCGUAAAGCGUGCGCAGGCGGUUUUGUAAGACAGGCGUGAAAUCCCCGGGCUCAACCUGGGAACUGCGUUUGUGACUGCAAGGCUAGAGUAUGGCAGAGGGGGGUGGAAUUCCACGUGUAGCAGUGAAAUGCGUAGAGAUGUGGAGGAACACCGAUGGCGAAGGCAGCCCCCUGGGCCAAUACUGACGCUCAUGCACGAAAGCGUGGGUAGCAAACAGGAUUAGAUACCCUGGUAGUCCACGCCCUAAACGAUGUCAACUAGGUGUUGGGAGGGUAAAACCUUUUAGUGCCAUAGCUAAC
Molecule: ribosomal RNA, 407 nt
Filed under: uncultured bacterium
Lineage: Bacteria
Description: bacterial SSU rRNA
Rfam family: Bacterial small subunit ribosomal RNA
Source: RNAcentral